Molecule: long non-coding RNA, 708 nt
Organism: Dermacentor silvarum
Lineage: Eukaryota; Metazoa; Arthropoda; Arachnida; Ixodida; Ixodidae
Exons: 3
Source: RefSeq, a predicted model, not a curated record
GGAAAUCCACAGCAACUCGAAAAAAAGAGAGGCCGUCUCGUGUCGGAGGCUGCUGCGCAAUCGGAUCUGCCAACAGAAAACAUCAACUCAUGCAGCACCUGUGCUGCUCAAGUAAAGCAGCUUGUUGAAGAGAAUGAAGCUCUCAGAGCUGAAGUAGAGAGGAUGAAGCGGACGGCAGAGGAGCGCGAUCACGUUGCUGAGGCAGCCAAAUUAGUGAAAAGGUUGCGAAAGGCCCUGGGAAAGGUCGAAACCAAAACACAACAAGCAGCUGAACCUGUUGUUGCUUGCCCAAAGGUAGAUAUAUCUAUCCUAUCCGCCGUCUUAGCUAGUGUCAUAAAUGCAUGAAAUGAUACUGUGAGAAAAAUGAAUUUUUUGCACUAUCCUUUAAGUUCUCUGCAAGCUCCAAGUCUGGCAACCGUUCCAACAUCCACAUUCUUUGGUAUUUAUGUGUGUGUAGCUCUAGGAGUGUUAGCGAGUGCCACUCAGGCCAAUCCAGUGGAUGCGGAACAUUCUUCUGGCCAAUGGUAACACGUAGUAUGUGAACUUUAUGAGUAGGCAGCUGACCAAUAAACUGUCGUAUGUUAUUUUAAGGCAUCAAACCUGCGUGAUUCAAGACCCUUGCUAUGAAAUGAAGGAGAAAGGGAACUGAAGGCCCACUUUUCUGAAACACAUUGAUGUGAAACCAACAGAUAUGCCAAGUAUAGCAUA